UGGGGAAUAUUGCACAAUGGGCGCAAGCCUGAUGCAGCAACGCCGCGUGAACGAUGAAGGUCUUCGGAUCGUAAAGUUCUGUUGCAGGGGAAGAUAAUGACGGUACCCUGUGAGGAAGCCCCGGCUAACUACGUGCCAGCAGCCGCGGUAAUACGUAGGGGGCUAGCGUUAUCCGGAUUUACUGGGCGUAAAGCGCACGUAGGCGGACUAUUAAGUCAGGGGUGAAAUCCCGGGGCUCAACCCCGGAACUGCCUUUGAUACUGGUAGUCUUGAGUUCGAGAGAGGUGAGUGGAAUUCCGAGUGUAGAGGUGAAAUUCGUAGAUAUUCGGAGGAACACCAGUGGCGAAGGCGGCUCACUGGCUCGAUACUGACGCUGAGGUGCGAAAGCGUGGGGAGCAAACAGG
This 404-nucleotide ribosomal RNA is filed under the name Verrucomicrobiota bacterium. RNAcentral describes it as "Verrucomicrobia bacterium partial 16S ribosomal RNA". It matches the Rfam family "Bacterial small subunit ribosomal RNA", at positions 355 to 776 of the family's 1533-position model. The record is from RNAcentral. Lineage: Bacteria; Pseudomonadati; Verrucomicrobiota.